This 61-nucleotide transfer RNA is filed under the name Strongylocentrotus purpuratus (purple sea urchin). It matches the Rfam family "tRNA", at positions 6 to 65 of the family's 71-position model. Rfam says of the family: Transfer RNA (tRNA) molecules are approximately 80 nucleotides in length. Their secondary structure includes four short double-helical elements and three loops (D, anti-codon, and T loops). The record is from Rfam by way of RNAcentral. Lineage: Eukaryota; Metazoa; Echinodermata; Echinoidea; Camarodonta; Strongylocentrotidae.
UAAGGCUCAGCGGUAGAGCGCUCGCUUUGCAUGCGAGAGGGCUCGGGUUCGAACCCCGAUA